Molecule: ribosomal RNA, 342 nt
Filed under: uncultured bacterium
Lineage: Bacteria
Description: bacterial SSU rRNA
Rfam family: Bacterial small subunit ribosomal RNA
Source: RNAcentral
UUGGAAAUGACUGCUAAUACCGCAUAAGCCCCACGGCUCGGCAUCGAGCAGAGGGAAAAGGAGCAAUCCGCUUUGAGAUGGCCUCGCGUCCGAUUAGCUAGUUGGUGAGGUAACGGCCCACCAAGGCGACGAUCGGUAGCCGGACUGAGAGGUUGAACGGCCACAUUGGGACUGAGACACGGCCCAGACUCCUACGGGAGGCAGCAGUGGGGAAUAUUGCACAAUGGGGGAAACCCUGAUGCAGCGACGCCGCGUGGAGGAAGAAGGUCUUCGGAUUGUAAACUCCUGUUGUUGAGGAAGAUAAUGACGGUACUCAACAAGGAAGUGACGGCUAACUACGUG